AGCAGCCGCGGUAAUACGGGGGAUGCAAGCGUUAUCCGGAAUCAUUGGGCGUAAAGCGCCUGUAGGUUGUUUAAUAAGUCUGUUGUUAAAGACUAGGGCUUAACCCUAGAAAAGCAAUGGAAACUACUAGACUAGAGUAUGGUAGGGGUAGAGGGAAUUUCUAGUGUAGCGGUGAAAUGCGUAGAUAUUAGAAAGAACACCGGUGGCGAAAGCGCUCUACUGGACCAUUACUGACACUCAGAGGCGAAAGCUAGGGUAGCAAAAGGGAUUAGAUACCCCUGUAGUCCUAGCCGUAAACGAUGGAUACUACAUGUUGUGCAUUAUGUACAGUAUGGUAGCUAACGCGUUAAGUAUCCCGCCUGGGGAGUACGCUCGCAAGGGUGAAACUCAAAGGAAUUGACGGGGGCCCGCACAAGCGGUGGAGCAUGUGGUUUAAUUCGAUGCAACGCGAAGAACCUUACCAGGACUUGACAUACUACAAAUUCUUUUGAGAAAAAGAAGUGCCUUCGGGAAUGUAGAUACAGGUGGUGCAUGGCUGUCGUCAGCUCGUGUCGUGAGAUGUUGGGUUAAGUCCCGCAACGAGCGCAACCCUUAUUUUUAGUUACCAAUUCGUUGGGUUCUCUAGAAAGACUGCCGGUGACAAACCGGAGGAAGGUGAGGAUGACGUCAAAUCAGCAUGCCCCUUAUGUCCUGGGCUACACACGUGCUACAAUGGUUAAGACAAAGAGUCGCGAGCUCGUGAGAGUCAGCUAAUCUCAUAAACUUAGCCCAAGUUCAGAUUGUAGGCUGCAACUCGCCUACAUGAAGUUGGAAUCGCUAGUAAUCGCUGGUCAGCCAUACAGCGGUGAAUCCGUUCCCGGGCCUUGUACACACCGCCCGUCACACCAUGGGAGCUGGUCAUACCCGAAACCGUUUGCUUAACCGUUUGGAGAGCGACGUCUAAGGUAGGGCUAGUGACUGGGGUGAAGUCGUAACAAGGUAGCCG
This 985-nucleotide ribosomal RNA is filed under the name uncultured bacterium. RNAcentral describes it as "bacterial SSU rRNA". It matches the Rfam family "Bacterial small subunit ribosomal RNA", at positions 510 to 1502 of the family's 1533-position model. The record is from RNAcentral.